UCGAAGAUCAUUACAUUGAAAUUUUGGAUCCGUGGCCAGGCAACUCCCCAGAUCUCAAUCCCAUAGAGAACCUGUGGUGAUUUCAGAGCCUGUUUCACAUCUACAUGUGCAACAGAGGUUGAUCAGUUUUUCCAAAUGACAAAUGUUGCCACUGACAUGGACUUCUUAGCUGUCAGCCAUGAAAAAGAUGCAUGCACUAUGCAAAUAGCCACAUCCGAAAAGAACACCAUUACUGAAGUAUGCAUGUCUGAUUUAGAUGUCCUCGCUGAGGUAUCGGAUUGUUGGAGGAAUUCAUAAAGCUAAAAGAGACAACAAAUGAGCUGAAACAGCUGAAGAGCAGAAAGGCAAGCCCUAGUCCUGGCGGUGAGCACUGCAGGAGAGUUUGUGAGUGUGACGGUGUCCAACAGCUGAGAAGAGCAGAAUUGUGUCUUCUCGCUCUUCAGUUUGUCAUGUGUCAGCAGCACUGCUGGAGACAUUUCUUCACCUCCCCACUGGGUCAAAAUCCUCU
This is a long non-coding RNA of Cyprinus carpio (common carp), 508 nucleotides long. RefSeq lists it as uncharacterized. The record is from RefSeq and is a predicted model, not a curated record. Lineage: Eukaryota; Metazoa; Chordata; Actinopteri; Cypriniformes; Cyprinidae. The transcript is spliced from 3 exons.